Peromyscus maniculatus bairdii (prairie deer mouse) is the source of this 4270-nucleotide non-coding RNA. The record is from RefSeq and is a predicted model, not a curated record. Lineage: Eukaryota; Metazoa; Chordata; Mammalia; Rodentia; Cricetidae.
GAGCUCCACAACUCUGCGUUGUGAUUGGUUGUGGUUUUCUGUAGUGGUCUCCAUCUGUUGCAAAGAGACGUUUCCUUGGUGAGAGGUCAAGACUACACUAUCUAUGGUGUAAGGAUACGUAUUUAGAAUGCUGGUUUAGUAAAGUGGUGGUUGUGGAUCCUCCUUCUCUAGCACUGAGUAGGUGGCACCAGUAUCAGGCAUCAUUUCCCUCUUGUUGAGUUGGUCUUAAGUCCAAUUAGGGAGAUGCUGGUUACCACCAAGGUAUGCAUGCCACUGCUGCAUCCUUAGAGUUAUCCUGUUAGGUUUAUCAACACAUUUUAAUUAAGGUCAUAUGUACCAUAUGCUUAGUAUUUCCCUGGGUUUCAACAGCAUGUAUUCUGGGUCAAGAGUUGGGUAGUGAAUAAUAGGAGUCUAUGUGUCACCAGUAAAUAGAUUAGGGCCACCAGGGAAGUCAAAGAAGAUGGAAGAGAAAGCUCUUAGCUGUGUGACCAUGGAUGAGAUACUUUUACCAUCUUGGGGACCAGAAACUCUAACCUUCUUCAUUGGUUCUAGCAGCAUUUACUUGAGUAAAGUUUACCCUGUGCUAUAUGUUAGGGACACGGAGAUGGGAGACAGUCUGGCCCUGCCCUUGUUCUGAUGCCAUGUGUUACCUUGAGACUCUCCUAAAUUUCCUCCAUAUCCCCAUGUAAAAGUGGAGAGGAGCAGAGACCUGAUCAGUAAGAGCCACAGAGCUCUUGGAGUGGUGGGUCUUGUCUGUCAUGGGCUCCCCAGGCCCCUUCAUAUCUGCUUUCCCUGGGAGAGCCAGGCUUUCCUCCCUUCCCUCUCUCCUCCCCUGAAAAAUUCUCAAUAGACACGGCCCUCUAUGUGGCCAGGAAGCCCCAGGAAGCAGCUUGAGCCCAGCUUUCUCGGGAGGAAGAAAAGAAAGAACGGGCUUCUAGGUACAUUUGACAAUGAAAGUGACUUAACAGAAAGUGUCCUAAGCUCGCCUCUGAGGGGUCACAUUAGUUAGUCAGAUCAGCAGUGAGAGCUUGCAUGCUCCCCUCGGUGGGCCAGACAUCAGUAUUCUCUCACACUUGUAGGACAUUGGAUCUCACUCUUGUUGGAGUUUUGCAGCCAUGCUUUUAGUUACACUCAGCGGGAAGUUUUGGACUGCCUUCUGUAUUCAAGGCCUUACGCAGGGGAUGUUGAUCUUUUUCAAAUUCAAGUGUAUGGACAUUUUUGAGAUUUUUCUAACUGUCUGUCUCUUCUGUUAGACUCAAAACUUAUUGGAGUCAGACACUGCCUGUCUUCCUCCCCACUGACUUCUUUAGUACAUCACAAUGGUGACUUACAAACAAUGUCAUCCAACAGAGAGUGACAGGAAAACAUUAAUUCUGAGACAGGGAUCUUGGAAUGGCCUUUAAUUUUGCAAAGACUGGUAAACAGAAGCAUGACCCUUAACCAGGAACAAACAGAUGGUCGACAGACAUAAAUUGAAAAGAAUGAUAAUUGUAGGAAAUAAUUACCAACCGUGCACCAAGCCUUGUGCUGAGCACCUCAUGAUUAUUCACUCAUUUAAUUCUCCAGAUAACUCCGUGAAGCAGGCAUUCUCAUUGUCCCCAUUUUACAGAUGGGUAAACCAAGGCAUGGGGAGUCACUAACUUAUAAGUGUCAGGGCUCAGAGCUGAACUCCUAUUGUCUUGCUCUGAAGUCUAUGAUUCUACCCACUCUACUGCCUUCCAAGAUGCAUUUUCAAAAGGGAAUAGUCAGGGGCAUGGAGUGUUGUGAAGCUAUGGCUUCCAGCAAUGUUCUUCCUGCUUUGCUAUAUGGUGUCCGGCUGCUGAUCCAGGACCCCUGGGAAGAGAGGCACAAAGAGGAACUGGAGAGAUGUAGAUAGGCAGGCUGAAAAAGAGCUCUAUUGGGCUGAGUGACUCUCAACUGAAGGAGCCGGAUUGGCCACUGGAGCAAAUGUGACCCCUAGUUACCUUUUCCGAAGCAGGUCCUAGCAGCAGGCUACUUUGCAGAGCUUCUAGAUAAGGUGGACAAAGUCAUUCUUUUCUCCUGAACUACUCAGAGGUCAUCCAACAGCUAAAGCCACCCAAGGCUACUGUUGCCUCAUCAAAAUCAGUGGUCCAUGGACAGAAAGGAAACAGUCUAAUGUGCAACCUUCUGUGUGUAGGAAGUUGGGGCGGAGCAAACUGGAGGAAAGGUUCGGGCAAGCCUGACAAAAGCCUGCCGGUUAAGCAGCCCUGAUGAUAAGAGAUUAGUGCAGAGCGUCUGACAUUGGCUCCAUCGCAGUGGCUUAGGGCUUCUGCUUGGGCUUCUGGCCACAGGGAAGCAGCCCUGAAACCAUGGUCUUUCUCUCCAGACUAGAUCUGCAGGAGGGCCUCCGAACACUCUCCGUUUUACAGUGGAUUCCACUCUAUGUCAUUUUAGGCCACUGUCUUCCAGCAGGACUAGAGUAGAGGGUCCGUCAGGCGAUACCAUAUGUAAGAGCUCAAGAAGACAAGGGCAGCAGCCGCCUCCUCCCCGCUAAAGCUCACUGGCUCCCAGUCAUCCUGGCAGAGUUGGAGGAGUGGAAUGGGAAUGCUAGAGACACAUGAUGGCACCAUUGUGUCACCAGUGGAAACACAGAAGCAUAAAGUGCAUUUUUUUUUUUGGUCGGUGUUGUUAAAGUUUUGUUUUUUUUUUUUUAUUACGACAAAUAUAGAGAAAAGAGAAUUCCUUGUUUUAAGUGGCAGUCAGUUGCAUUAACUACUGUGUUACACAGUGUUCUACAACCAUGUCCAAAAUGUUUCAUCUUCCUAAACGGAAACUCUGUACCCAUCAAACCUUGACUUGCUAAGUUCCUCUCGCCCAGCUCUGGAAACCACCAUUCUAAUUUCUGUUCAGGUGAACUUUCCUAUUCUAGACGAUCAUGCCAUGGUCACUGUUAUUUCACAAAACAAAGCCUUCAAGUUUAUUCAUACGAUAGCAUAUGUCAGAAUUUCCUUUUUAAAUGAAUAGCACUUUUAUGGCUACACUAAAUGUCAUGUAUUCAUUCAUCCAUUAAUGAGCAUUUUUCCCUCUCGGCUAUGAGGAAGAAUGCUAUUUUAAGUAUAAGUGUAUAACUUCUUUGAAACUGCUUUUGAAUGUUUAGGAUAUACAAAAAAGAGGAAUCUAUGGACUGUAUGGCAAUUCUAUUUGGUGAUGCUUUGAGAAACUGCCAGUGGCUACACCGUUUUAUUUUUCUCACAACCGUGCAUAAGGGUUUGGAUUUCUCUGCAUCAUCACCAAUACUCUUAGCUUCUGGGUUUAUUAUCAUCUUAACGGGUGUGGCAUGAAACCUCACCAUAGUCUUGAUUUGCAUUUUCCUAAUGACUAAUGAUACUGAGCAUAUCUUCAUGUGUUUCUUGACUUGUUUUAGACUGAUUAUCAUUCCAUUUGUAUAACAUUCUGUUUCUGUUCUUUAGCUGACUAUGCUAAAAAUUUCAAGAAUCCUGGGUCCUGCAGAUUACCAAAGCAAUCUUGCAGUAGAGUAAAAUGUCCACAGAGGUGCCAAAUAUAUUCAAAUCUGUUCAUCAAUAGUUAUAGGGAAAAUAUUCAUUAUAAGACCUUGAGCUGCCUUUGCUGAGGCCGUAACAAUGAGCUAAUUAUAGGCUCCUUGUUAUCAACUACAGAAACAAACGUUUCAACCACGGCACACGUUUCAAAUCACUGUACUGUAAUGUGGACUAUAGUAAGUGAAAGAGCCAUGAGAAAGGAAUGUGAGGGUGCCAGGUAAAGAAAAUCUUACAACAGGCUGAGGAGGCUGAAGGGGAAGCAGCCUGGCACGGUGAGCAGCUGGUGAGCCCUGGGGAAGUACAUCAGAGUGGGCUUACAGUUCAGUGCGGGACUUUGGAGUCCCAAGGGUGGCGCUGCUAUAAGGCUUAGUAUCAUCGUCCCCUUCUCUGGGCUCACAGGCAAUGUUCUUCACGGAAAAGUCUCCCUCCCUCCUCUUUCUCCCUUUCCUUUAUUCGUUCUGAACCUGGUCGGUGCUUCUGUCUGAGUGAUAUUCAGAAGCAUAGCCAAUAUAACAUGCCAAGGGAUGUUAGCUGGAGGAAAUGGAGUUGACAGGGCAAAGAGAACAAACAGACAGAGGGACAAGUAGGAUGGAGAAAGUGAGAAGAGACGACGAAAAGAUGAGUUAGGGAACAUGAAAGCUCUGAUGGCCCUCUGAGGUCCAGCUUUCUUUCUGAGGUUUGCUUUCUCUCUCUGUGUCUCUUCUGUGUUGUGGAAUAUUAGUUUAAGAUGUGUUGCGUUUGUUUAUACU